UUGGAGGGCAAGUCUGGUGCCAGCAGCCGCGGUAAUUCCAGCUCCAAUAGCGUAUAUUAAAGUUGUUGCAGUUAAAAAGCUCGUAGUUGAAUUUCGGGACCAAUUUGUUGGUCGUGCCUCGGUACGUACUGGUAUUAUUGGUUUCUCCCUUCUGAAGAACCUUGAUGUCAUUAAUUUGGUGUCUUGGGGAAUCAGGACUGUUACUUUGAAAAAAUUAGAGUGUUUAAAGCAGGCAUACGCUUGAAUACAUUAGCAUGGAAUAAUGAAAUAGGACGUUUGAUUCUAUUUUGUUGGUUUCUAGGAUCGACGUAAUGAUUAAUAGGGAUAGUUGGGGGCAUUAGUAUUCAAUUGUCAGAGGUGAAAUUCUUGGAUUUAUUGAAGACUAACUACUGCGAAAGCAUUUGCCAAGGAUGUUUUCAUUAAUCAAGAACGAAAGUUAGGGGAUCGAAGACGAUCAGAUACCGUCGUAGUCUUAGCCAUAAACUAUGCCGACUAGGGAUCGGAUGAUGUUAUUUUUAAUGACUCAUUCGGCGCCUUACGGGAAACCAAAGUGUUUGGGUUC
RNAcentral lists this ribosomal RNA (562 nucleotides) under uncultured Glomeromycotina. Its description in RNAcentral is "SSU rRNA". It matches the Rfam family "Eukaryotic small subunit ribosomal RNA", at positions 548 to 1114 of the family's 1831-position model. The record is from RNAcentral. Lineage: Eukaryota; Fungi; Glomeromycota.